Molecule: long non-coding RNA, 121 nt
Organism: Nematolebias whitei (Rio pearlfish)
Lineage: Eukaryota; Metazoa; Chordata; Actinopteri; Cyprinodontiformes; Rivulidae
Exons: 3
Source: RefSeq, a predicted model, not a curated record
CCUCCUCAUCCUGGGCAGCCAUCACCAUGGAAAUGAAGCAGGUUCUGUGGAGGAGAGCAGGUGAAAGAGCAUCGGUGGAUUGAUUUACAGCCGUAGAGGAAAGGGGCUCUUCACGUGCGGC